Molecule: ribosomal RNA, 500 nt
Filed under: uncultured bacterium
Lineage: Bacteria
Description: partial 16S ribosomal RNA
Rfam family: Bacterial small subunit ribosomal RNA
Source: RNAcentral
AUUGAACGCUGGCGGCAGGCCUAACACAUGCAAGUCGAGCGGAUGACGGGAGCUUGCUCCUUGAUUCAGCGGCGGACGGGUGAGUAAUGCCUAGGAAUCUGCCUGGUAGUGGGGGACAACGUUUCGAAAGGAACGCUAAUACCGCAUACGUCCUACGGGAGAAAGCAGGGGACCUUCGGGCCUUGCGCUAUCAGAUGAGCCUAGGUCGGAUUAGCUUGUUGGUGAGGUAAUGGCUCACCAAGGCGACGAUCCGUAACUGGUCUGAGAGGAUGAUCAGUCACACUGGAACUGAGACACGGUCCAGACUCCUACGGGAGUCAGCAGUGGGGAAUAUUGGACAAUGGGCGAAAGCCUGAUCCAGCCAUGCCGCGUGUGUGAAGAAGGUCUUCGGAUUGUAAAGCACUUUAAGUUGGGAGGAAGGGUUGUAGAUUAAUACUCUGCAAUUUUGACGUUACCGACAGAAUAAGCACCGGCUAACUCUGUGCCAGCCGCCGCCGUAA